RNAcentral lists this long non-coding RNA (495 nucleotides) under Androctonus crassicauda. The record is from RNAcentral. Lineage: Eukaryota; Metazoa; Arthropoda; Arachnida; Scorpiones; Buthidae.
UGGUGAUGGUUCAACGAUAGUCGUUUCUCAGCGAUGUCGCUAUGUUCAGUAUAACCCUCCAUGUUCGGGACCAAAAGCGUAGUAUUAUCAUAUACAACAAUAUUUGUGUCUAUUUCUGAUAGUACAAAUUCUAUCAGAAAUUUUGAUCAUAACUACUGGGGAUGGCUAGAACCGAGGCUAGAACUAGUUCCUUGGACUAGAAUGGCUUCGGACAAAAUGAUGUAUAGUAGCGCUCGAAGCUGUGCCGCUCAAGAUCCAGCCAUAUAUAGACCAUGGUCCAGCUGUUUCCAGUAAAUGGCGUGAGUUAUCUAUAUCUGUGGUCUCAGACUGGCGGCCCGCCAAGCAAUUUUGUUCGACCCGCCAAGAUGUUUUAGCUAUUUAUGAUACAUAUUACAGUCGGAAAAUUAUUAUAAUUUAACGUUAAUAAAAUAAGAAAGUUUUAAAGCGUACUGUACUCAAUCUGCGCUGUACUAUCAAUAACUACUCUCAUUUUCC